This 74-nucleotide transfer RNA is filed under the name Bacteroidota bacterium. RNAcentral's name for it is "Bacteroidetes bacterium (freshwater metagenome) tRNA-Asn". It matches the Rfam family "tRNA". From Rfam's summary of the family: Transfer RNA (tRNA) molecules are approximately 80 nucleotides in length. The record is from RNAcentral. Lineage: Bacteria; Pseudomonadati; Bacteroidota.
UCCUCCUUAGCUCAGUCGGUUAGAGCAUCUGACUGUUAAUCAGAGGGUCUCAGGUUCAAGUCCUGAAGGGGGAG